RNAcentral lists this ribosomal RNA (374 nucleotides) under uncultured eukaryote. RNAcentral's name for it is "partial 18S ribosomal RNA". It matches the Rfam family "Eukaryotic small subunit ribosomal RNA", at positions 592 to 975 of the family's 1831-position model. The record is from RNAcentral.
CAAUAGCGUAUAUUUAAGUUGUUGCAGUUAAAAAGCUCGUAGUUGGAUUUCGGUUAAGAGCGACCGGUCCGCCGUUUGGUGUGCACUGGUUGGUUUUAACUUCCUGUAGAGGACGUGCUCUGGGUUUAACGACCUGGACUCGGAGUCUACGUGGUUACUUUGAAAAAAUUAGAGUGUUCAAAGCGGGCUUACGCUUGAAUAUUUCAGCAUGGAAUAACACUAUAGGACUCCUGUCCUAUUUCGUUGGUUUCGGGACGGGAGUAAUGAUUAAGAGGAACAGUUGGGGGCAUUCGUAUUUCAUUGUCAGAGGUGAAAUUCUUGGAUUUAUGAAAGACGAACUUCUGCGAAAGCAUUUGCCAAGGAUGUUUUCAUUA